UUGUUGGUCAGCAACUAUUCUGUCGUUCAUUUCGUUUAGCGACUCGUAAUUUGCAUAUGUUUGCGCAUCGCACAUGUUUCGCGUGCGCAGGUGUGAGUGAUUCUAUUUGGUAAAAUAGGCUUGGUAUAAUUAAUUUUGUGUUGUCUCAUUUGAGUUAGGUAUGUUGAUACAGCUGAGCCACCGCUAGGGCUGCCGUUUACCCCGUCUUUUCGCCAUAGGAGCCUUUGUGAAGCGGUACAACGUUGUUCCAGUUUCCGCACGCUCGGAGCAGAGCCCGACCUUUUUUUUAUCAAGAAAGAGUCGGAGGCUUCAACUUAUCACUGGUAGCUCUAUGGUUAGGUUCGGCGAUUCUGGGCAUUGCAUUUAGUGGACCAGCCAGCAUUCAGCAACCCGAAAAGCUGAGGGACCAGGCCUCAAGACGCUCGGACAGCUGUCAACCACUGCGGCAGUUUUCCUAAGGAAGCAUUCAGUACAACGCGCGUGGGUGUGAUGCGAGGACGUCUGAAAAUACCACCUCAAGUUCAGCAACUUAGACCCACCAGCCAGCUGAGAAGUACACGCAACAAACCAUAUGGGAGGACGGCGUACAGGCAGGGAUGGUGGCCAAGCAAAGGGAUCAAGAAGUUUAAAACCAGACUUAAAAUUCAGAAACAGAGAGACAACAGCCCCAGAAUUUUUUACUCUCUCGUACGUUCGAAUUGUGACCUGAACUUCCAUUUUGCCUUAAAGUAACAGAAUAUGUUAGAGGGCGUCUGUUAAACGCUUUCUUCGUAAAAAAA
Long non-coding RNA from Branchiostoma floridae (Florida lancelet), 779 nucleotides. RefSeq lists it as uncharacterized. The record is from RefSeq and is a predicted model, not a curated record. The transcript is spliced from 3 exons. NCBI's taxonomy places the organism in Eukaryota, Metazoa, Chordata, Leptocardii, Amphioxiformes, Branchiostomatidae.